Long non-coding RNA from Homo sapiens (human), 677 nucleotides. Ensembl annotates it as long intergenic non-protein coding RNA 1503. The record is from Ensembl. Lineage: Eukaryota; Metazoa; Chordata; Mammalia; Primates; Hominidae.
ACUUGGGAAGCUGAGGCAGGAGAAUCGCUUGAACCUGGGAGGCGGAGGUUGCAGUGAGCUGAGAUCACGCUACUCCAGCCUGGGCAGAGCAAGACUCCAUCUCAAAAAAAAAAAAAAAAAAAAAAAAGGGAUAGCGGUAAAAAGACAGCUACUCCGUAGACAGAGUAGGAUGUUCCUGAAAGUAAGAGGAGGAGCGAGGAACGCAUCCACCCUAGGGGCUCGGAAUACCCACCUUUCUGGUAAUGCAGCCCAGCGGGUCCCAGCCUCGUUUUCCAGCCCUCACUCAAAAUGGAGUCGCUCUGGUUCGAACGCCUCUGACAAGUGUGUACCUACGUGUCAGGGUUGGAGUGCCAUGGUGUGGUCAUAGCCCACUGAAGCCUCAAACCUCUGGGCUGAAGCCAUCCUUCCGCCUCAGCCUCCCAAGUAGCUGGGACCAUAGGUGCAUGGCACUGUGCCUGGCACUGUCUGAAUGCAUACAGCUGCGUAGCAUCGUGGUAAGAACACCCGCCCUGACAUCACACAGACCUGCAUCCACGUCCCAGCUGAGCCUCAGUUCUCACAUCUGCAAAAUGGGGAGAACAACAGCAGCAGCGUCCUGAGGCUGGGGUGAGGACCGAGUGAAAAACCUUUGUCGCAUCUUUGGGCAUCGCAGGAGUUCAAUAAAUGUUAGCUAUCGU